RNAcentral lists this transfer RNA (74 nucleotides) under Electrona antarctica. RNAcentral describes it as "tRNA-Leu (UUR)". It matches the Rfam family "tRNA". Rfam says of the family: Transfer RNA (tRNA) molecules are approximately 80 nucleotides in length. Their secondary structure includes four short double-helical elements and three loops (D, anti-codon, and T loops). Lineage: Eukaryota; Metazoa; Chordata; Actinopteri; Myctophiformes; Myctophidae. The record is from RNAcentral.
GUUAUGGUGGCAGAGCCUGGGUAUUGCAAAAGAUCUAAACUCUUUUAACAGGGGUUCAAAUCCCCUCCAUAACU